Molecule: ribosomal RNA, 253 nt
Filed under: uncultured bacterium
Lineage: Bacteria
Description: partial 16S ribosomal RNA
Rfam family: Bacterial small subunit ribosomal RNA
Source: RNAcentral
UACGAAGGGUGCAAGCGUUACUCGGAAUUACUGGGCGUAAAGCGUGCGCAGGCGGUUUUGUAAGCCAGAUGUGAAAUCCCCGGGCUCAACCUGGGAAUUGCAUUCGAUACUGGAUAGCUAGAGUUCGGCAGAGGGAAGCGGAAUUUCUGGUGUAGCGGUGAAAUGCGUAGAUAUCAGAAGGAACAUCAGUGGCGAAAGCGGCUUCCUGGACCAGAACUGACGAUCAGGCUCGAAAGCGUGGGGAGCAAACAGG